This 512-nucleotide ribosomal RNA is filed under the name Salmonella enterica. RNAcentral describes it as "bacterial SSU rRNA". It matches the Rfam family "Bacterial small subunit ribosomal RNA", at positions 1 to 502 of the family's 1533-position model. The record is from RNAcentral. Lineage: Bacteria; Pseudomonadati; Pseudomonadota; Gammaproteobacteria; Enterobacterales; Enterobacteriaceae.
AAAUUGAAGAGUUUGAUCAUGGCUCAGAUUGAACGCUGGCGGCAGGCCUAACACAUGCAAGUCGAACGGUAACAGGAAGCAGCUUGCUGCUUCGCUGACGAGUGGCGGACGGGUGAGUAAUGUCUGGGAAGCUGCCUGAUGGAGGGGGAUAACUACUGGAAACGGUGGCUAAUACCGCAUAACGUCGCAAGACCAAAGAGGGGGACCUUCGGGCCUCUUGCCAUCAGAUGUGCCCAGAUGGGAUUAGCUAGUUGGUGAGGUAACGGCUCACCAAGGCGACGAUCCCUAGCUGGUCUGAGAGGAUGACCAGCCACACUGGAACUGAGACACGGUCCAGACUCCUACGGGAGGCAGCAGUGGGGAAUAUUGCACAAUGGGCGCAAGCCUGAUGCAGCCAUGCCGCGUGUAUGAAGAAGGCCUUCGGGUUGUAAAGUACUUUCAGCGGGGAGGAAGGUGUUGUGGUUAAUAACCACAGCAAUUGACGUUACCCGCAGAAGAAGCACCGGCUAACU